RNAcentral lists this long non-coding RNA (600 nucleotides) under Panax ginseng (ginseng). RNAcentral describes it as "long non-coding RNA (PGIN_LNC018472)". The record is from RNAcentral. Lineage: Eukaryota; Viridiplantae; Streptophyta; Magnoliopsida; Apiales; Araliaceae.
UCUUCAAUAAAAUCAAAUAGUCCAAAAUCAGCCCCUGCCCGUGCCAUCUCCUACUGAUUAUUGAGCGGAUUUAUAGUGGGGGCUCAGUUUGCCCCGUUGACAUCCCUUCUCUCCUUGAACCGGCUGAGCGUAGUUGAAACGACCUCAUUCCCGCGGGAUAAAGUGACCUAUCGAUGGGUGGCAGAGAAUUUGCGGGAAAGAUGAAGUUGAGAGAUGACUGAUAAGUAAAAUUUGAUCAAAACUGGUGCGUUUCCUACACACACACGAGUCUAUAGAAUUGAUUGAUCUAUGCAAUAUGUGAUUUUCCAUUUAUGAUACUGAUGGCGAUUGUUCCUCAUUUGCUUAAUUUGUUUUCAUACUGCUUUAUUUAUAUACAUAAUUUUCUGUGAAUUGCUGUUAAAGUUGAAAUUAUUUUAUACAUAUUGAGAAUUUGAGAUUAAGAAAGUAUUAUAGUUAAAUAACUUUUAAUUAUUUUAUACAUAUUGAGAAUUUGAGAUUAAGAAAGUAUUAUAGUUAAAUAACUUUUAAUUAUUUUAUACAUAUUGAGAAUUUGAGAUUAAGAAAGUAUUAUAGUUAAAUAACUUUUAACUUGCAUGUGCU